RNAcentral lists this ribosomal RNA (429 nucleotides) under bacterium. RNAcentral's name for it is "partial 16S ribosomal RNA". It matches the Rfam family "Bacterial small subunit ribosomal RNA", at positions 355 to 776 of the family's 1533-position model. The record is from RNAcentral.
UAGGGAAUCUUCGGCAAUGGGUGCAACCCUGACCGAGCAACGCCGCGUGAGUGAAGAAGGUUUUCGGAUCGUAAAGCUCUGUUGUACGAGAAGAACGUGUGUGAGAGUGGAAAGUUCACACAGUGACGGUAACUUACCAGAAAGGGACGGCUAACUACGUCCCAGCAGCCGCGGUAAUACGUAGGUCCAGAGCGUUGUCCGGAGUUAUUGGGUGUAAAUCGAGCGCAGGCGGGUUAAUAAGUCUGAAGUUAAAGGAAGUGGCUUAACCAUUGUUCGCUUUGGAAAGUGUUCAGCUUGAGUGCAGAAGGGGAGAGUGAGAUUACAUGUGUGGCGGUGAAAUGCGUAGAUAUAUGGAGGAACGAAGGUGGCGGAAGCGGGUCUCUGGGCUGUAACUGACGCUGAGGCUCGAAAGCGUGGGGAGCAAACAGG